GCUCUCUCAUCCAUCACCUUCUUGCUAUAGUCAAGGCUCUAAUGUGAAAUAUCUGAUAGGAUGACAACGGCAGCUGCAAGCCCAGAACACGUAAGUGUUUCUCUCUCCAUUUGAUGAUACCUUGCGAGCCUCACUGUAAUUCACCAUAAGUGCUUUGCUUUUAGCCAGCGUAACCUAUAGUUGGGGAGGCAAUUCCAGUGGAGAGGGAGGGCCUGUGUGCUUGGAGCAAAAACAACAACAGAAACCCCAAACAGAAAUGAAAGGAAACAUUAUUAAAAAACAUUUUCUGGACAUUUGGUAGCGCACAUUUUGGCUGCUGCAGCUUAAAGCAAUUAAUUCAGGAUACUGACAUUAACUCUCUAGCUCAUUGACAGCUUGGAGCUGGGACUAAAAAUGCUAGUUCUCCAGGGAAAAGAGGCGGCUAGUUGGCUCUUUUUCUGGACUGUUUGCUUAUAGGCCCAGAGAGCAAUCUUCCUUGCAGAAUGAAAUGCAAGGACACAAACAAUGUCCCAGGGAGAGAAUGGGAGAUGGGAGUGAACAGUUUGAACUAUUUGCUCAGCAGAAGGGCAGCCACAAUUGCCGGCCAAUGGCUUUCCCAUGCAUCAGCCGGGGCUUCUUAGCCUCUUUUGUUGUUCUUCUACUUCCUUCGGCCAGAUAAGAACACAGCUGCAGAGAGUCCAGCUAACUUUGGGCCUGGCUUUAUUCACAAAAGUCUCCAUUCAUGUUUACUGUAUUUAUUUGCUGCAUAAGUUCCUGUCCUGUUUUUUUUGAAAUGUAGGUUUCAUUUUCCCACUCCGAAAUGAGAACUAUAUUCUGUAAAAGAAAAUAAAAUAAAAUUGCAGCUUCUUGUCGUAUUUGUGCUACUUCCCAUUUCCUUUGCUUUCUUAGAGAGAUGGAAAGAGUCUCAGAGAGGUUUUAACCAGAUCCCCCACUAAAAUUGCUUAGUGUUCCAGCCAAAAUUAAACAAUAUCAAUUUUGUCGAUUUUGAGUGAGUAGUACACAGUCUCCGCCAUUUACAGUGUUUACCUGGGGCUGGAUCAGGCCGCAUUCUGCAGAACAUUUCAUGAAAUGUGCAUAAGACUGCAGGUUUAAGUCCUCAAAAUUCCGGUUAAUUUUUCUUUGUUUAGUGCUAAAAAAAUGUCUGUAGGAUGGAAAACACUUUCAAUGCCAGUCUACCAUACUGAAUAGGAAUGCAAUGGGUUUUCAGCAGUGCCCUAUUUCGUGCUUCAUUGAAAAAGCGAAGAGAUUUCAGAGGUGGUUAUAUGGCAAUCAGAUAAAAUUCUCUUGAGGAAUAAUCAUCAUAUGUGGUGUGAAACAUGAAGCGUAGGGUGUCAAAUGGACCCCCCUCCUGCUCAGUAAUUGCCCGCACAUAAAAGACACCCACACGAUAGCUUAUAUAUGCACACAGACAUUUAUAGAUCCCUCACAUAUAAUGCUUCCACAUAUGCAAAAUAACUUAUCACAGAUACAUAUACACGAGGACACAGGGUUAUAUAAAAAACACAGGGUUCUCAUAUAGAAAACUGAAUUGAUUUUGGGGUAUUAAAAAUGUAAAUGUCCCAAGUACGCAUACAGUGCCACCUGUUUGUGAAUGAAUGGUAUGUGUGCAUUUACAUAUUUUUCCUACGUUAAAAGAUUUAUAUGCUGUUUUUCAUGAAAAAUGCCACUGCAGUGUGAUACGGGCACAUUCUUCCACAAUAAUGCAGAACCAAAAGUAAUGAAAGUAUCUGUACACCACCCACAAUUGGGGAAACCCAACCAUUUACAUUUAUGUAAAUGGUUACGUGUGAGUAUUAUGAUAGUUGUUACCAUAUUUUGCUAUUUUCUUUCUAGUAUUUUCUUAACCACAGUUUAAAAUAUAACAUGUGAACUGUUUGCACUAGCGGACUUGUGCAAGUGGUCUGACUUCUGUGUUAGCUUUUUAUAUUUGGUCCAGAACUUCCAGUUCACUGAGUAUCUGAUUUCUGGUCAGAUCUGCAUGGAGUGCUUAAAUACUAAAGCUACUAAUGAUCUGUUAUGUGGAAUGAAAACCAGGGAAAUUGCCUUUCAUGUAAACCAACAUAAGCAUUUGUGCUGAUUUUUGUAUAGGUUUCCAUGUCUUGACUUCUGUACUUCUAUAGUAUCACCAAUGUACAGUGCUUUACAGCAUAACAUCAGUGAAAAGCAUAGGGCUCUUCUUCCUCCAAAUUUAAAUCCCAGAUAGCUUGUUAGAAGAUUAAUUAAACUUGAAUGAGUGUAAAAUGAGGUAGAAAGUCAUUUUUUAAAAGCAACACGAGAGAGUGAUUUACUGUGAACAAAUUGAACAUUCUCAGUCAAUGUGUAACCUCACAGGAAACACAAUGUUUGCACACCACUUUUUCCAGUGUGAAACCUCUGAAACUGCAGGGAUUUUUCCUCUACUGGGUGGUCAGGAGGCAAGGCUGAAAGGCAAAAGAACUCCUAUUGUCCUCUGCUGUGUCUUAACAGCUGACCUCACGUGUCUCUAAAAAGAAGAAAGCACCUGUUUAUCUCCAGUUAUCCCCUGCUUCUAUGAGCACCAAGCUACCCCCACAGAGAGAGGGUCCUUGGCUGGCGGGGGCGGGGGGAGUAUCUCUAAAAGUGCUUUGAAAACCCCCACAUCAGCCCUGAUCCAGACAGAGUCAUACACUGAUCAAGACAUUGUUUCAGGAUGCUCACUUCCAAUAUGGCUGGAAAUCUUUGCCCACUCUGUCUCUGUCACCACAUCCUGAGUAGUCCUGAAGACACCUCCAGUCUGAGCAGGGGGUUCUCAUUCAUCAAGGGGAUCCACAUGUAGAAACCUGUUAGUCAGGUCCUUUGCUUCUCUCAUUAAAGGACAGAAUUUCACAUUAUGCAAAACAUGAGGCUGCUAUGGCGGGGGGAUUUCAAUGUGAUUUCUCUCCCUCCUAAUAUAGCAGAUCAUUCAUGUGAUGUCACUGCAAGGUACCAUUUUCCCCUCCCCCUCCACAUCAUAACUGCUGCUGGUGGGGACCGGGGAUACCUGAAAUGAUAACAAAACCUUAACAUGUGCCGCUUAUCUGGGAAAGGAGGAGAGCAUUUAAUUAACCAGACAUAAUGAUUGCUGGAUGUUCUUUAUAGGUAGUUACUUAUGAUGCUAAUUUCCAAAACAGGAGGCAAUGAGAGACUGCUGAGUCCCUAAUGAUUGAAUUAAAGGAGCAAAUACAGUUAUGCAGCGUUUAAAUUAGGGGUGACACUUAUGUCAAGUGUAUGUUUAAUAAAUAUGAUCAGGAUAGGGUUUUAAUCAGGAUUUCCACUCGGGUUAAACUAGAUAAAACCCAUAUAAGCUCUAAAAGGAUUGGAGAGCGGGCCUGGAAGAAACCUUCCUAAUAGAAAGGACAUCAACAGGUUUGGCAGGAAACUCGCAUCGCCCCCCUCACUUCCUGAAGAUACAAAGCAGCCUCACCCUGCAUAGUCAACAUGCCAGACUGGCCUCUGGAAUGCUGGCUUCAGCUCCAUGCUAGCAUAGGCAGGACUGGGCACAGAAUCUAUGGCUAUCCACACCGCACCUUUAAAGUAUGUAGCUUCGCCCAAAGAAUAAUGGGAACUGUAGUUUGUCAAGGGUGCUGCAGCGCUGUGGAGGGGAGCAAGCAGCAGUGCACAGGAUUCUUGGGGGGAAGCCAUGGGCUUUAAACUAUGGUGUGGAUGUUUUAUAUGCAUUUAAUUUUACAAUAUCUGUAUACCACACAAUCGAUAUCAUUCAAUAAUAAGAUCAGAGUUAAAUGUGGGUAAUGACAGAGAUUGACAAAUCCCAUGAAACAUAUCCUGACACGGGAGAAGUAUUAAUAUCCUGCUAAUCCAGGAGGAUUCUUGCAGCAAGGGAGAUGAGCAGCCUCUUUAACAACCUUCUUCAGAUUACCAGGUGCUGUUAAUGACAAAAACCAUACUCAGGCUGUAUCAACUGCAAUGCUCCUAGCUCCCUUCCCUUAAUGGUAAAGGGGUAUUAGAAGCUUAGAGAAUGAAAUAUACUCAGAGUCGCAAAGUGAUUUCAUGCUCUUUAUUCAGCUCAUAGUGGUGAGGAGGAAUGAAUGAAUGUCCCCUCAAAGUAUCUGCUUUAUAUACAUUAUUUACACAAUGGGCUGCACAUGAUUGGUUAAUUCUGGAAUUCUACUGUAAGCCAAUCAGGUUGUGGAUUCACUUAUAUCUGGAGCAUGAUUGGGUGGUUCCUGCCAACCAAUCAUACUGCUGCAUUGUUCUUGGACCAAUCAGACUGCUGCAUUCUGAAUCCUAUUGUUCUAGGACCAAUCAGACUGCUGCAAUUUGGAUCCUAUUGUUCUAGGACUGCUGCAGUUUGGAUCCUAUUCAACUCAGUACAUAACACCCCUCCCCUCUAAGUUCCAGUCCUGCCCGGGAGGUCGCAUUCAUAGUCCUCGAGGUACGCCGGCGGCCUACGUGUGCGUUGCGGCCUGUGGUGUUCAGGUUCUGGCUCGUGUUCCAAGGAUGCUGGCUGUGAUGGGCCUGUUUGGUCUGGCGCAACCGGCUCGCUCAGUCGUGGUUCUGGUUCCGGUGUCCUUUCGGCCUCGCGGGUCCUCUCUGUAUUUACUGAUUCUGCCUCUCCUGCUGGCCCCUCCUGCUCUAUGGGCCUCACUGCCCCUCUGUUCCCUUGGGACUCCUCAGACCUUUCCUCCUCCUGGUUUUCUCCUGGGAAUCGUCGCCGUAUCUGGUCGCAGUGGCGGCGCCAGCAUUGCCCCCAUCCGUUAGCACCUCGUACGACACGGGGCCAGUGACCCUGGUGACUGUGGCGGGUACCCAUGCUGGGCCUGCCCCAAAAUUCUUUGCGUACACUGGGUCCUGGGCCUCGAAGGUCCGGGGGUCCUGCCUUCCCCCACCACUACCUCAUCCUGAGCUCUAUCGGGGUGAAGGCGGUCCAAUCUGAUUGCAAGGCGCCGACCCAUUAGUAGUUCAGCGGGGCUCCGGCCAGUCGUUGAGCUGGGGGUGCUGUGCUGUGCUAGGAGGAAUGUGGCAAGGCGGUACUCCCAAUCCCCUUGCGUCAUGCGGCGAAGGGUGUCCUUGGUGGUCCGCACCAUGCGUUCUGCUUGGCCAUUGGUGGCAGGGUGGAAUGGCGCCGAACGGAUGUGGCGGAUGGCGUUCUGCGCUGUGAAGGUUUGGAAUUCUCCUGACGUAAAUGCAGUCCCGUUGUCUGAGACGAGAGUGUCAGGGAGCCCGUGGGUUGCAAACAGCCUGCGUAGUACCCGGAUGGCUGCGGAUGUAGAAGUGGACGGUACCAGUGCGACUUCCAGCCAUUUGGUGUAGGAGUCCACCACUAUGAAGAAUGUUUGUCCCUGAAAGGGGCCAGCGAAGUCCACAUGCAGGCGUGACCAUGGUGCUCGGGCGGACUCCCAGGACUGGACUGGGGCCCUUGGGGGAUCUGGGCGGGAUUCUUGGCAGGCCUGGCAGUGUUUGACCCAGGCCUCUAUCUCUCCGUCGAUCCCUGGCCACCACACAUAACUCCUGGCAAGGGCCUUCAUUCUUACUACCCCUGGGUGUGUCUCGUGUAGGGCUGUGAGGACCCUUUUGCGGAGGGGCUGGGGAACAACGACCCUGCUUCCCCAUAACAGGCACCCCUUGUGGGCCGACAGUUCAUGUUUGCGGGUUGUGUAGCCAGCGAAUUCUGGCCCAGGGCUGCUGCUGGGCCAUCCCCUCCAUACCCAGUCCAGGACCCGGGAGAUGACCCUAUCUUUCUUGGAAUGGUGUGCAACUUCUUGUGCCUGAAUGGGGCGGUCGGGAAGCAGCUCCAGGCUCAUAACCUCUUGUGCAGGUGCUGGGUCGGGGCCUGUUUCCGGUAGUGGUAGCCUGCUGAGGGCGUCUGCAUGGCCCAUUGCCUUCCCGGGCGGUGAAUCAGUGCAUACUGGUAGCUGGCAAGGAAAAUUGACCACCUGAGGACGCGAGGAGACAGCACUUGGGGGGUCUGCUUUUCGGGGGCAAACAAGCCAAGCAACGGCUUGUGGUCAGUCACCACAGUGAAGGGCCGCCCGUACAAGAAAUCAUGGAAUUUUUUUACUCCCUUCACGAUUGCCAGACCCUCCUUGUCUAUUUGCGAGUAGUUCCGCUCGGUUGCGUUGAGUGUCUGGGAAAAGUAUGCCACCGGUACCUCUCUUCCAUCCGGGAGUUGGUGUCCCAGGACAGCGCCAAUGCCAUAGGGCGAGGCGUCGCAUGCUAGCACCACCGGCAGCCUCUCGUCGAAGUGUGCCAAGACCGAGUUUGAGACAAGCAAGUCCUUGACUGCCUGGAAUGCAGCCUCCUGGCGCUGGCCCCACACCCAAGGGGCCCGCUUGUCCAGGAGUCUGUGUAGGGGCUCUGCUACCGCCGCCUUGUGAGGAAGGAAGGAAUGGUAAAAGUUCAAUAGUCCCAAGAAGGCCUGAAGUUCAGUCUUGCUCUUGGGCGCUGGGGCAUCACAAAUGGCCCGUACCUUGUCCCCAGUCGGGUGGACCCCUUCUGCGUCCACCAUAAAUCCCAGAAAGUCCACCUGAGGCACUCCUAGUAGACAUUUUUCCCGCUUCACCUUGAGACCCGCCGUCUGGAAACGGUGCAGAACAGUGCGGAGGCGGUCCUCAAACUCCUCUGGUGUGGGCCCGGCAAUCAACACAUCAUCGAAGAAGGGGGGUGACGCCAGGAAUCCCUUUAAGGAGGGAGUCCAUUAGAUUCUGGAAUAUGCCUGGUGCCACGCUGACACCGAAUUGCAGCCGCUUUACCCUGAACGCUCCUCUGUGCGUCACAAUCGUCUGUGCCUCUGCUGUGGCCUCAUCUACUGGCAGCUGUUGAUAUGCUUGGGCCAAGUCCAGCUUGCCAAAAUUUUCGACCCAGCCAGGGUGGCAAGGACAUGGCUGACCACUGGCACUGGGUAUGCGUGGGCCGUGAGGGCCUUGUUUAUGGUACAUUUGUAGUCUGCGCAGAUGCGGACCGAACCAUUAGGCUUGACGGGUGUGACGAUUGGGGUUUCCCAGGGGCAUUAGGCACCGGCUCCAGCACUCCUUGCUCCACGAGUCGGUCCAAUUCCUCGUCUAUACGGGGUUUCAAGGCGAACGGGACCCGGCGGGCCUUGAGCCUGACCGGUCGUACUGCGGGGUCAAGCUGUAGCGCAAUGGGGGCCCGUAUACUGUCCCAAUUUCCCAUCGAAAACCCCUGGAAAUUCCUUGCAUAUGGCGUCCACGUCCACUUGUAAGCUAGUGUGGUUCACCCCGGUGACAGCUAGCCCCAGUGGUCCAAACCAUGCCAAUCCCAGUAAGCUAAUGUAGGGGCCCUUGACCACAAGCAAGUCCAGUUGCCGCGUCCGCCCUCGGUAUUGCACCCUGAAGGUCCCCACCCCCAUUGUGGGGACCUUACGUUUCUGGAAGUCCCGUAGGGUGAAUGGGGCCGGCCUGAGUUUGGGACCCCCAGUAGGACACAGUUUCCUUAAGGUCCUUGCCGAGAUUAUGGAUAGAGUUGAACCCGUGUCAAGCUCCAUGCGGCAUGGGGCCCCUCUAUCUGUACCUCUACAUAAAUUUUCUCUACGUUGGGGUGGGGCAACUGGUAUACCUGGCAGUCCGUGAGCUCCGUCGAGUUGCCUUGGUGCGUUGGGCCCCGGGACCUGGGGCUCUUGGAUUGGUCAUCUGAUGCCUGGUGUCGGGUGGGCCGAGCCCGACACACCCGGGCGAUGUGUCCCGAUUUUCUGCACUGCCUGCACUCUGCGUUGCGGAAACGGCAGGUCCUCCUCUCGUGACUCUCCCCGCAGCUUGCGCAGUUCCCUCCUUCUCGUCGAGGCAGCUGUGGUCUGUGCGCUGCUUGAGUGCGCUGCUGUACUCGGUGCACCUCCUCCCUGUCGGAUCCUGAGUCGUCUGUGAGGUCUUCGUGGUGGACCCUCGGUUGGGAUGGCAGGCUCGGCCGUGCCUCUUGCGUCGACCUCUCGGCAGCUUCCGUUGCCAGGGCCUCCUCCAGAGCGACCUGGAACGUUAGGUCCUUCUUAGCGUAGAGGCGUCGUUGCAGCUUCUCAUCCUUCAGGCCACCGACGAGGCGGUCCCGAAGCAUGUUCUCUAGCUCUGAGAAGUUGCAGAACCGGGCGGCUUGGCGGAGAGAGGUCACAAACCCAGUUAUGGUUUCCCCAGGGGCUUGCCGCUUUGCGUAGAAGGCAUUUCGACGAGCCACCACUGAGGGCUGCGGCGAAAAGUGCCCCUUCAGCUGUUCCAUUAUUGUUUUGUAUGGAACAGUAGCGACGUCUUCAGGCGCAAGGAGAGCCCGGGCGAUUUCAAACGUCUCCUCUCCGCAGACGCUGAAGAAUAUCGCCCUCUUCUUGGCGUCUUCUUCGUCGGUGACCCCUUUGGCUUCUAGGAGGAAGGUGAAACGGGAGGCGUACGCUUCCCAGUCUCCAGAUGCUGGGUUGAAUGGCGAGAAGCUGCUGUUGGCUGCCAUUCUGAGUUCCUUGUGUCCCGGAGCUGAAGCCUGGAUACACGGUGCGAGGCAGCGGUGCGGCAGGUGGCGGUGCUGCGGUGCUGUGUGUGGCAGUCAGCUCAGCGGGAUCCCACCCUCGUCGCCAGUGAAAUAUACUCAGAGUCGCAAAGUGAUUUCAUGCUCUUUAUUCAGCUCAUAGUGGUGAGGAGGAAUGAAUGAAUGUCCCCUCAAAGUAUCUGCUUUAUAUACAUUAUUUACACAAUGGGCUGCACAUGAUUGGUUAAUUCUGGAAUUCUACUGUAAGCCAAUCAGGUUGUGGAUUCACUUAUAUCUGGAGCAUGAUUGGGUGGUUCCUGCCAACCAAUCAUACUGCUGCAUUGUUCUUGGACCAAUCAGACUGCUGCAUUCUGAAUCCUAUUGUUCUAGGACCAAUCAGACUGCUGCAAUUUGGAUCCUAUUGUUCUAGGACUGCUGCAGUUUGGAUCCUAUUCAACUCAGUACAUAACAGAGAAGCAAAUGUUCUUCUGUCUCCUUUCUUCACUCCAUAAGAUGUUCCUGCCGCAGCUCAUGAUACUGUUGCCCAGGGCUGGCUGAAGACGUUUUGGCACCUGGGGCAAACCACAAAAUGGUGCCCCCUUCCCUGGCCAGGAAAGAAGGGGUGAGUGAAGAGUUACAUCUGAAAUAAGGUACUGACUUCUUCUACCCCUUCAUAGGUGCCAGCUCCCUGAGGGCCUGUGUGCCUGAGCACCCACAAAGUUCCCCAUGAAGAGGCUGGGCACCCACGGCCCCAGGCACCCACAGUUGUGGGGCCAAGUUGGCACUCCUCUACCUCUUUUCCCUUAGAGCUUUCUCUCUACUCUGAUCAUCUAAGGAUUGGAGAAGUUCAGCCAAUCAGUUACUGCCAGAGGCUUCAUUACCAAUGCCACGCCUCCAUCAGCUAGCAGAUUAAACUCCUGAUUUGGGGGGGGGUCUCUUUGCUUUUUUAAUGGGGCAUUUAUACUUUCAAUUUCUUCAAAUGUACUGCCAAAAAAGGGUUCCCCUGUACUUUCUUAUGAUAUAAUGUGCCUUUUCUGUUUUAGGAAGUAAGCUGAAGUGGCAUUGAUGGCUCCACAGUCAAGGACUGCAGCAAGAGGCCAAGUCUUGAGUACCAUUCUUAGCACACCUGACUUUUGAACUUAGCAAAGGUAUGCAACGUCAAUGUGAUUUCUGAGAGAGAAUGUUUCCAGCACACUGUAAUCAAAUGCGGCUUUGCUGAUGGAUUGCUCAGUUAUAUUUCCACCAUUGCAUAUGAGUAAAAACAAUAGUCCUGAAGCAAGACUUUGGUUUUAGAUGAUGCACCAUGUGUCAUAGAGGGCUUUACCUGCAUUCCUUACACAUGAGAAAUGUCACAGUGGUUGUGAGAAAAUGUAUAUCUAACUCGAAGAUGGAACCCACAUUGCUCUAGAAAGCACAAUUCUGAACUAUAGCUAGAAAAAAGUCAUGUUUCUUUGAGACCGUACAUACUGAAUGGACACUCUACAUUACCCGGAGCAUGUACAAAAUUCAGUUAAGCUAUGCACAUUCCACAACACUUUAUGUAUAUUGACCAGGAAAUGUGCACGAUUCCCUCUUCAUGGGCAGACUAAGUGCACAUUCCCCAUGAGGCUUGGUGAAUUCAUACAAUGGCUCAUUGCUAUGACUAUUAACUGUUCAAUUUACACCCCCCUUUAACAUAUACAUAGACACAUCAUAUUCUCUCUCAUGCAUACACAUAUUUGACUUUAAUGCUGCCUGAUUAUAAAGGUACCCCUUUCUCAGCGCAUAGCACAGAAGCACAGCAAAUUUCCCAUGGAAGAAAAGAGUGAUCUUCCUCCAUGGCCGGCUCCCUUGUUUUCCAUGUUGCAAACUGAAAAGGGGCUCCCUUUGUCUUCUCUCAAAUUCACAAACGCCAACUUGAGAAAAAGAUGGGGGGCAUGCGCGUGCGCGAUGACACACACAUGGUGCAGGGACGCAGAGGUGCUGGAGGAGCCAAGGGGCAGUAUGGCUUCAAUGGUUGGCAGCUUGUCUUUUCUGGUGCUCAGUUUCCUCCUCCUGCCACCACCACCAGCCCAUGGCAGGAGGAGGAAGAGGAGGGGCCACAGGCUCUCCCUGCUGUACUUGGCUCUGCGAUAGGCCUCCUCUGCAACGGAUUGUUCUCAACAUUGGGGGCCUCAUAGAGUUGGCACCUCUGCUCAGGCUGGAGGGGCAAUCUGAUUUGGAAGCUGUUUUUUUAUAGUUGGAAAGUAUCACCUGACCAGCUGAGGCCUGUUUAUGCAGGGGAUUUUCCUUGGCUGAUAUGGCUAGUCUUCUUGCAGUUUCUUCAUUCCUUUAGUCAGGGUUUGGUGGUAACACAUAGGUUGAAUUCUCACCUGACAUUUCUCAGGUCACCAUUCUAGAAAAGGAGAGAUCACAUGGUGAAGAUGAUGAUGAAACAGAGCAACAUAACCAAUCUUAUUUUGCUCCAUGCUGAUAUCCUUGGAAUAAGUGAAUACUUAUCUGCCCUUUCACAAUAAACGUCAAGAAAUCACUGAAAGGAGAGGUGCCAUUCAACCCUGUGAUGGAAUAUAGAAAUUGUCCCCUCUGCCUCAGCCCUUAUAGAUACUUAUGUAAAAAGUUAUGAGAAGUCUGUGUGCCUUCUAAUCCUGUCAUGACAAGAUCAUGCUUAUUUAUGAGCCCUGAAUAUAAGGAAGGAUACCUGUAUCAGCACAUUUAUAUUUUUGAUAGAGGGUUAGGUAGAAAAUAAAGCCAUGAAUCAUGUGACCGGUAUGUCAGCCGUAUCAUUCUAAAGAGCUAGUUGAUGACAAGGCAAAACUUGCUUAUUUACUGAGGCAUGAGGAGAGUAAGCUUCUUAUUUAUAUUAUUAUUUUUUAAAUUCUACUCUAUCUUUACAUCAAAUUCAUGCUCAAAAUGUCUAGUGGUGUGAUUCCUUCUUAAAACCUCCUGUGACACUGAACAGCCCAAAUCUCUUAUGCAUGUUUUAGAAGGGUUUGAAUCCCCGUGACGGGGUGAGCUCCCGUUGUUCUGUUCCAGUUACUGCCAACGUAGCAGUUCGAAAGCAUAUCAGUGCGAGUAGAUAAAUAGGUACUGCUGUAAUGGGAAGGUAAACAGCAUUUCCCUGGCUUCCAUCACGGUGUUCCAUUCCACCAGAAGUGGUUUAGUCCUGCUGGCCACAUGACCUGGAUCUGUCUGUGGACAAACACCGGCUUCCUUGGCCUGAAGUGAGAUGAGCGCUGCGACCCCAUAGUCAAGUUUGACGGACUUAACUAUCCAGGAGUCCUUUACCUUUACCUUUUACCUAGUCAAUGCAUAGAUUUAUGUGCAGCCUGGGAAGAGGAAUCACCAGAAAGACCUGCCAUCUUCCUUUUCUUUUCCACUGCACCAAAUACCACUUCCGUGUUACAGCCCUUCCCCUUCUUCAGGAAGGAAAGAUCUUUGGUUUCUCUAGGAUGCUACAACAUAGAAAAAAGUUUGUGCAGCUCCUAGAGAGACAAGCUGGAUGUUCUGGUUUUUGGGCCAGUCUAAAAGAGUUUUCCACACAAACUGCAAAACAAGGAGAAGGCUGGAAUGGGGAUCCAAACGAGAGAGAAUGGCAAACUCAAGGGGAGAUGGGCUGCAGGAGAGGGAAUGGUUGAAAGAAAAAAGGUCGGAGGGAAUGGGAUGAGAGGGCCGGAUCAAGAGGGAGGGCAGAGAGUGAGGGGGAAAAGAUCAACUGGAUCCAGCAGGUGGAAAUGAAACUUCCUUCAAAACAUUUCUUAUGCUCCACUCAUUUUUUAAAUGUGAAUUAAGCUAAUUGAAGCAACCCCUACUGACACAACACUAUUGUCCCAUUAGAAUCCUUCAGUCUGUGGAUAUGAAAUAUGAUUAAAAUUCUUCUUGCUCCAUUUUAACCCAUUUCUGUCAACCUGGGGGACAAACAAACAGUCACAAUUGUGGUUUUGGUAGUUGGCUUGUUGACAAGCUUUGUAAUGAGAAUGCAAAGAAAAGAAUUAACACCAUCUCCACUACUGGUGCCUCAGGAACAAAAAAGUGCUGUGGACUUUAUUGCCCUCUUACACUGGGUGGAAAUGAUACUGAAGAAAAUGAAUAAAGUACCGUAUUUUUCGCUCUAUAACACGCACCCGACCAUAACACACACGUAGUUUUUAGAGGAGGAAAAUCCGUAGGCAUGCCACCCGUAGGCAUUCCCUCCAUAACACGCACAGACAUUUCCCCUUACUUUCUGGGAGGAAAAAAGUGGGUGCUAUGGUGCAAAAAAUACGGUAAUUGAAAAUGUUGGUGCUUUCAUGAAAACAAACCUGUGCUGUUUCUUGCCAGCUCUAGGUGCUCAUUCACAAACACAGUUGAUGGAAUAAAUGCAUUCAGAUCUCUUAAAAGACACGUGACUUCCAGAUGAAGCACCUGGGACUUCAGAGAAAAUAAAAGGUUCAAAGCUUGUCUGUGAUCACAGGCUUUUGGGUUUGAUCCAGCACAAUGGAAUCAACUGCAACGGCCCCAUUGUCUUUGAGGAUGCAAGUGUAAUUCCAGCGCACAAGCUUUUACAUGACCCUUAGGCAAGUUAUUUAUAGCCUCCAUUGCAACUCUGUUCUACCUCUGACAGGCAGAAGGCUGCCCUGCCUUAACGGUUGGGCAAGGUGGCCCUUUCUGGGUCAGGAACUCAACUCUUCAAGGGUCUCCAACUGUGAGCCUUGAAGAGAAUGGUAGAGAGCCAGUGGAUGAGGCUGUGCAUUUAGAGCCAUGAAAGGUUUCCUUAACAGAGGCUGACAUUCUGUUUUAUACUGUAAGCAAAAUGACAUACCUUCAUGUAUCCUUCUGCCUCUUUGGGGUACAGAGCCUUGUGAAUAAAGCAUGUGGAAUAAAGCAGUGGUUUCCAAACUAUGUUUUUGAGGGGCAUUGGAGCCAACUCCUUGGGGCCAAGUGCCUUUGCCCCCCCUUAAAAUAUUUGAGUGGGCCAGGACCUGUGCACUGCAUCUUGUGAUCAAGUGUGUAAGCUUUUAGAGGUCUGUUAAAUCAAAAGACCUCUAACGACAAUCUUCCCUUAAUAACUGCUUGCCCACCCCUACUAAUCUGCCCUCACAAACUGCAGCUUUGGAGGAGAUUGGGGUGUGUUCUAGGUUUCAGUCAUCAUGGAUAACAGGCCUGGCCAAUAUCUCACAAGAAUCGUGCUUAAGAAUGUUAGCCCAAAUCCUGGGCAGCACAGGACAGAUGUGUUGGGGGUUCCUCAGUAGGCAAGUCAGUAUGGAAAGGGUUCUCUGAAGAGGGGAAGUUUGAAAAUACUUUCUCUACAGAGAACACUUAGGUUGGGGGCACUUUAAAAAGCGCUGGCAUUUGCUGCAGAACUUUGACUCUACUUUCCCCUCCUCCAAAACAGGGGUACGUGGCCAUUGCAAGUGCUGCUGGCCUCAACUGAAUUUCUGGUUCAGGUAGAGCAAGUGGUCAUUCACAAUGCAUGACCUUAGCAGCAGACGGCAUCCUCUGGGAGAGCGGAAAUAAUGGGGAGUGCAGAAACAUGGCCACUGUUUCAUUUCAAAGUGUUGGAGUGGAGAUAGGAGCAGCCUGCCACCACACAUUAAAAUGUUAAAUAAACAGAAAAGCAGAUGUUUCUGCAGCUCACUGCUAAGGAAAUCGCCUCUGCAUCACAUGAACUGGUUUGGGGUUCCUAAUACCCCAGGACAAGGCAACAAGCUGGCUGCUCCCUGAAUUUGCCAUCUUCAGGCAGCUGUGAAGUGUUUGCUGUAGUCCUAAAUUACACUCGCACUGUUCAGCCCAGAUUAGCUCCCAAAGCACCACACUGCAAUUAUAAUUCAACACAAAGGGAUAAUAUAUUAGGAGUGUGUAUGACAGUCUCUUCUGGCUUCUGCCAGUUGACCAUAUAAUGCAGGAUCUGGGCUUUUCCACUGUGGGCUAGACUGCAAGGCUCAUUAGUGGUAAAGGCUGCUCUUCCACAAGGUCCUUGUGAUCCACAAGGAAUCAUGCUACUACUAUUUCAUCAUCAGAUUAUUGCUCUGUGACAGCUUCCUGCUCUCCUCCUUGGGAGGAAUAAUAGUCAAGCAUAUUCUGGAGCCAUAAGAAUGGCUUAUUGCACUUGCAGUAGCACCCAGCUCAGAUCACCCAGAGAGUCACAUCCGUACUUUAGCUAACUUGAGAGGGCUGGUUGGAUCCUUGGAGCUUAUAUGCUUGCUUUUUAUUUGUACACUGGUUGAAGCAACCCCUUUGUGGAGAGAGAAAGCAGGGUAUACAUUUGUGAAUGAAACAAAUAAAAUUUUUUAAGUGCUGGAAAGCCUUUUUAAAAAUGCAGUGUUUCCUCUGUCUUUUCUUUUAAACCAUUCUGCUACCCAUCUUUAUCUUUCUGCACCCUAAAGCAUGCACUUGAUUCCUUCUCUGCACUACUUCACAAAAUGUUUGCCUGCCCCCCUUGUCUGCUUAGUCAUCUCUCCUGCUCUUCCCAUUCCAUAAUGCCUGGUCUCUUCUCUGUGCUUCACAGCCUUUGCCCUCUUUCCUUUGUGUCUCUCUGGACCAAGUCUCUACCCCACCAAUUCUCCACAGGUCUGUCUGUGUCACCAUUUCUCAACUACCCCGCUUAUUUUUUCUGCGUCCCAGAGGUUAUUCUGCUCCAGCAUAUGCCUCCUGAUCUCUGCUCCCCUCCCCCCUUCCAUUUCCCCACCCCACCAAACCCUCUUUCAUAUAUAUUCUUCCUGUGCUUACCACUAUGCCGUUCCCUUCCGUUCUGCACCUUCAUUAAAAAUGCUGUGAUGUGGAACAACCGCACCACACUAAUAUGCAGCCAAGAAUAAGUCUGACUUAAUUCCUAGUCUAAAAAUGGCAAUAGUUACCUUCCAAAAUGUCAGAUAAUCUGGCAUUUCUGAUUAGAGUGCUUGUUGAAGCAUCUGUCCCACGUGACCUCCUUUCAAGUAGCUCAAAGUCAUUGUUUUUAUAUCUAAAAUGAAUAACCAGCCCUCCCUCAUUUUUCAAGGAAAUUAUGCUGGCAGUAUUUUUUCUCCUGUAGGUUACCUUCUAUAAUUGAACUGCUAGGGAUGUCUGUCAUAUAAAGAGAAAGCUUGGUUUAUCCCAGCCUUUGAUGAGUUGGAGAGAAUGUCUGGUCAACUAACAUUUUGGGAUUAAAGGGGACUAAAAGACCUAGAGACGCAUCACAUCCAUAACAAAAUGCUGUGCUAUGCAAAGUCCAGACUGGCUUCACUGUUUGUGGAGCUAUAGAUGAUGCCUAUUGCUCUGGAGGUACUCUUUUCCGUGAUUAAAUUCACAUUUCAUUUUUUUGCCAUGCCACGCCUCUCUGUCAAUUCAACUUCCCAAGGCAUAAAGAGUUACAUCAAGGAAAGAAACUCACUGUGCAACCCUAGUCAUGUCUACUUGGAAGUAAGUUGCAUUAUGUUCAUUGGGCGUUUCUUCCUGGAACAUGCGUCAUGGAUUGCAGCUGAUGGUUCCUUUUAUCUGCAUAUUUCACCUGCCAAUUUAUGGGAUUGCAAAUACCUCUGCAUACUGAGGUGUGUAGAAAACUUAUGUUACAGAAACUUCCUUUACAGAAUAACAAAAUAGUACACGUGGAAGAGCAGGGGAAAGCAAAGAAAGUAUGAGCCACUGCUCUGGGUGUGCGUAUAUUGGAUCAGUCAGUCAUCUCUGAUUCAUUGGUUGCCCAGUUUGCAGCACAUAGGGAAGCCAAAUGGAAAUGGGCUCAUACUUUUAAAUACUCUGAAGGAGUGCAACUAAAACAUGCCUCCAAUUUUAACUCAGAAAAAAAGUGUGCCCCACUUAGCAGAUGUUUGGGAAACACUGUACCUUAUGUUGAACAGCCCACAUUGAUAUCAAAGGCAGCAACUAUUUUGCUCUAAUUGUUUCUUCAAUUCAAAUAUGUUAAUAAAAGACAACUGAAAAUGUCCAUUGUAAAACAAUUUGCAAUAAAUUCUGCAAUUUAAUUUCCCUUCCCACCUGCC
Molecule: long non-coding RNA, 16343 nt
Filed under: Podarcis lilfordi (Lilford's wall lizard)
Lineage: Eukaryota; Metazoa; Chordata; Lepidosauria; Squamata; Lacertidae
Source: RNAcentral